Molecule: long non-coding RNA, 1327 nt
Filed under: Cairina moschata (Muscovy duck)
Lineage: Eukaryota; Metazoa; Chordata; Aves; Anseriformes; Anatidae
Description: domestica (muscovy Duck (domestic type)) lncRNA (ENSCMMG00000014247.1)
Source: RNAcentral
CCAGCCCAGCUUUGCUCAUCACCAACCCAAGCUUGCACAUCAUGGUGUUUGGAGGAGCCCCCAGGAGGCUGGAUAGCAGCAGUGACACCUUUGGGGUUACCACAAGCCAUCUGAGGACAUGGGACAAGGGCACUGUUCGUUGCCCAAAUGACUCCCUGCAGAGACAAGCACACAAACCCUGCCCCUCGAUGAGAUAUAUCCCCUCCUUUUGUUGGCACCUUGGAGCUCCUUCCCCAUCCACAGGCUUUCACAGAUUUUCAAGCUCCAUCCCCAUCCUAUUCCGUACAUGGGUGAGGCAACAACCAGCCCAACUCUGCACCCCAAUACCUAUGGGCAGCCCCCCCAGCUGCCUUCCCAGGCUGAGCCUGUGAGCAAUUGCCGGGCAAAAAAUGACUUUCAGCUGGACUGUGUUAAGCAUGGGUGGUGCUGCCCUGAGCAAUGGCUGCAGGGAGUGGUGGCUCUAUUUAAGGCAGUAUCUGCCAGCCCUACUGGGGCUAUUGGUGGUAGCUGUGUUGGGGGUGAUGUCCUUGGUGUCAUCCUGUGGUCUCCAGUCUCCAGGAGUGGUGUGCCUGUGCUGGUGGCCCUGGAGAAACCUUAUUAACUGUUUAUUGGGCAGUUAUACAACACUUCAAGGUCUUUCAUCUUUUUCUGCCUGUCCAUUUACAUCAAGCCCAAGAGAGCAGACAAAACUGUCACUAUCCAGCAAGCUGUGCGAGGGAAGCCAGGAUGCAAUGACUUGCUCUGCAUUGGCGAUUGAAGGAACAGCGCCUGACUAAUGACACUGGACAGCAAGGAAAUCCAGUUGUCCUGGAAGAGCAGGCAGGCUGUUGAAAUGUCAGAUGGUAAAAACAACCAAGAGUUCCAGAUGGGGCAGUCAGAAGAGAAACAUGCCGAAGAUGGUAAUGGGAAAGUUCUGGAUUCUCUCAGCUGGGAGUCCCAUGUCCUCACCUGUGACUUCCCAAACCAAUCACUGUGCAAGCCUUACGCAAAGCAGUAUGCCUUGAGGAAGUUCUUCAUAACCAGGAAAACCGACCCAUUAGCCCAGCACGCGGAGCUCCCCCUCACUGCAGCGGCCAGACAGCUUUUUGGAGGCCUGGCAGACGCAACCUGGGCCAGCACCCUCACUUCAGCACGUGUGGCCAUCAUCCACUGCUUGGUGCAGCAUGUCACGUCUGUGUCUGCAGCGCGUUGUGGACUGACAGAAAUAACGAGAAGGAGCAAGUGCACUGCUCAUGUCCUCCUACCUGCUACUCUGCAGAUGGGACUUCACCAUGCUGAGCAGCUCCUGAGCACAGCAAAUCUUUCUCACCCACUUCAACUGUGUUAG